This 302-nucleotide long non-coding RNA is filed under the name Mytilus galloprovincialis (Mediterranean mussel). The record is from RNAcentral. Lineage: Eukaryota; Metazoa; Mollusca; Bivalvia; Mytilida; Mytilidae.
CGUGACUUGUAUUUGUCAAAAGAAAUAAGAAAUUGUCCGAGCAUGAACAAGGAUAUAAAUUUUGCAAAUGAUUUGGAAAUAAGGGUCAAAAUAUGUGCGAUUAUGUGCAUGUUCUUAGUCUGGAGCUGCAGUAGUGAUCGUUUUGUGUCGCAUUUUUAUGCGUUUUCACGUUGGCUUUUGUGUUGUUUUUUACUCUUCAAUAAUUUCCAUAUAUAUUGAAUUCAGAACUUAAAUAUCGUUAAAAAAGCAGUCUGAUUCUUCAAACAAAUAGGUAACUGAAACUGAAAUAAACAAGAUCCUUG